Molecule: ribosomal RNA, 492 nt
Filed under: uncultured bacterium
Lineage: Bacteria
Description: partial 16S ribosomal RNA
Rfam family: Bacterial small subunit ribosomal RNA
Source: RNAcentral
AGUGAACGCUGGCGGUAGGCCUAACACAUGCAAGUCGAACGGCAGCACAGUAAGAGCUUGCUCUUACGGGUGGCGAGUGGCGGACGGGUGAGGAAUACAUCGGAAUCUACUUUUUCGUGGGGGAUAACGUAGGGAAACUUACGCUAAUACCGCAUACGACCUACGGGUGAAAGCAGGGGAUCUUCGGACCUUGCGCGAUUGAAUGAGCCGAUGUCGGAUUAGCUCGUUGGCGGGGUAAAGGCCCACCAAGGCGACGAUCCGUAGCUGGUCUGAGAGGCUGAUCAGCCACACUGGAACUGAGACACGGUCCAGACUCCUACGGGAGGCAGCAGUGGGGAAUAUUGGACAAUGGGCGAAAGCCUGAUACAGCCAUACCGCGUGGGUGAAGAAGGACUUCGGGUUGUAAAGCCCUUUUGUUGGGAAAGAAAAGCAGCAGGUUAAGACCCCGCUGUUCUGACGGUACCCAAAGAAUAAGCACCGGCUAACUUCGUG